This 422-nucleotide ribosomal RNA is filed under the name uncultured bacterium. RNAcentral's name for it is "partial 16S ribosomal RNA". It matches the Rfam family "Bacterial small subunit ribosomal RNA", at positions 360 to 774 of the family's 1533-position model. The record is from RNAcentral.
AAUAUUGGACAAUGGGCGAAAGCCUGAUCCAGCCAUGCCGCGUGUGUGAAGAAGGUCUUCGGAUUGUAAAGCACUUUACGCUGGGAGGAAGGGCAGUAAGCGAAUACCUUGCUGUUUAGCCGUUACCGAAAGCAUCAGCACCGGCUAGCUCUGUGCCAGCAGCCGCGGUAAUACAGAGGGUGCAAGCGUUAAACGGAAUUACAGGGCGUAAAGCGGGAGUAGGUGGGUCAUUAAGAUGGAUGUGAAAUCCCCGGGCUCAACCUGGGAACUGCAUCCAAAACUGGCGAGCUAGAGUAGGGCAGAGGGUGGUGGAAUUUCCUGUGUAGCGGUGAAAUGCGUAGAUAUAGGAAGGAACACCAGUGGCGAAGGCGACCACCUGGGCUCAUACUGACACUGAGGUGCGAAAGCGUGGGGAGCAAACA